GUAAAUACAAAAAAAACUGUACGAAUAUGAAAACAUUGCCGGUUUACUGUCGAUUUUAAGCCGUCGGAAAAAUUUUUAGUGUCAGCCGUUGCUGGUAUUUGUCGGCGUUGGUCUCUAAGUAAAAUCCAUCCACAAAUUUAUUAAGUGAGGAAGAUUAUACUACUUUUUUUUAAAAUGGGUUCAAAUGAAAGAACAAGGUCACCAAGAGCCGAUGAUAAUGGCAACGAAUCUGUGUCUCCAAAAAAGUUUCGAGUUGAUUCUGGAAAAAAUGUUCUGGCUAAAACCUGCAAGUUCUAGCAAAGAGAAAAUUUUAAUUGCUCAAAUUUGUUCUCUUUCACAAUUUCUGGUAAAAACCUGCAAACUUGACAAGUAAAGGAACAAAGCUAUAAUUUAUUAUAGUUUGAUUUUAUUAAUUUUAAUAAAAAUGUAUAUAUAAACUGCCAUUAUUCAUUACUUCUUAAAGGUGUAUAAAUAAAUAAUAGAAACUUAUAGAUUAUUUUCAAAAUUAAUAAAAAUAAACAAUAAUACUUACAUAUUAUAUACGAAAAUAGAGUUCAUUGUAUAAAUAUAUUUUAAUUUAUAAAAUUAAACCAUAAAAAAUGAUGUAAUUUUUUUGCUAAUUCUUGUGUUUUAACAAAGUUUAAAGAAAUUUAAACAAUAAUCAUCAUAUAUGCUGGUGUUGUUUACAUGAUUUCCAAAGACCAACUGAGAAAAUAAGAAAAAAUAAGAAAAAUCCCUUUUAAAGUACAGUUGACGAAUUUCAAAAUAUAAACAUGUUUUUGCAGGUUUUCAUAAUCGUCGUAACACUAAAAUUCCCUUUCGACAAUAUGCAGACAAGUCUGAUGUUAAUCGUUUAAUACUUCAGAAAAUGUUCAGAAAAGUCUAACAAAAAGUAUGCCGAGUAUUCUGUAAAAUGUCUAAAGGAAAUUUAUAUGAUUCGUUAAAAAUUCUGAAGUAUAAGAAUAAUUUCAGAAAAUUUCUGACAGCAGACAUGUCUUUUGUUUACUGGGUAUUUACCCCUACUCCACUAUGAGCAAUCUUGUAGAAAAUCUCUUUUUGGUUAACAAUAAGAAAAAAUGUUUAUAUAUUUAACAAAAUUCAAUAACCAUAAGCAGUUAUAAAUUUCUACUUAACGAAUCUUUUAAGACAAAAUGAAUUAUUGUGAAGUAGAAAUUUGUAACCGCUUAUGGCCUAUAGGCUAGGUUAUUGAAUAUUGUUAAAUAAAAUAAAAAAUAAAAAAAAUAAAAUGAAUUAUUAUACAAAGAAAAAUUUAAGAACUAAAUUAUUUAAAAAAAUAAACUAUAUCAAAUAACUAUAGAACAAUUAACUUGUACUGUAUUGAUAAUAAAUAAAUUACAAUCAAUCAAAUGUAAUUUAAAGUAGCAAAACAGGUCAAAAAUGAACUCACAGAACUAAUCAAUAUGUCAUACAGCAACUAUAUGGCAAAUAAAACUCCGGGCUAUAAAGGACAUUGGUAAAACAUAUCAGACAGAACAUGUAGCUAUAAAUCACCUAUUAGUUGAACAUUUCUGAAUAAAUAUAUGAGACAAUUGGAAGAAAGUUUUUAACGAGCCUAAUAAAUAUCGAAUCAUAAAUAAUAAAUCAAAUACCAAAACUACCAGUUAAUUACAUAAUAUAAAUUUCAAGAGUAGCUUAGAUAGAACCUAAUGAAAAAACAGUUACAUAAGAGCAAAAAUAUAAAUAGCAGGAAAAACCCAUCACAAACACAAAACUCUAUCUUUUCCACGACAAUUGGGUCUUCGCUCCGGAUCGACCCGAUUCUCAAUCAUCCUAAGAUUGACAACUCAGCAACAACUGUAUCAACCGGAAAUUUUUUUCCCCAGGGUAGAACAUUUAGUUACAGCCAACCUGUUACAACAACAACACUCUCCAAAGCCAAAGAUGACAGAAAUUUCCAAAAUUGACAAACAAUCUCACAAAAUUCACCACCGUAAAUCAGUCAAUACUAGAUAAAAAACCUAAGCAUAUUAAUUGCAGUUAAUAUGAUGUGAACCGACAAAAAUAAAUAGGCAACCAAUAAUACCAAACAGUCUGAGACAUACUAUAAAAAGAAACAAAUUACAGUAACUAGUAGUAAUAUGAGAGACCAAAACAGCAUAAAUCAGAAUCAUAGAAAAAAUGCCUCACAUUAAAGACACAAUGAAUAGCAAGAAUAAUACCAAUUUAAGAAAACCCUGCAUGUUGAAUAAGCCAAUCAAUUAAAAAGGCAAAAGAAAAUACGAGUUUCCAAGUCAGAAUUGGCAAUUUAUCAGAAAUUAAAAUCAAUUCCGAUUUGAAUAGGUGUCAUGAAAUCGUCUUGAUUUUGCCUACUUUCGAAAAUAAACAAAACCCAUAUUAGAAUCAGCUGUUUUCUUUUGUUUGCAUUUUUUAUUUUAGUUAAAUUUUCAGAAGUUGACCUAUUAUACAUUUUUUUAAAUAAUUUAUACAAAAAAUUGAAAUAGUUGAGGCAGUAGUUGCAUUUUAUUGAUGGAGGAAGAAAGUUGUCAACGAAUUAAUCGGAAAAUUUUAAGGGAUCACAGCAAUCCAUUGGAACUGCCAGAAUCUGUGUAGGUAGAGAUUUUGAUUUGGCCGGGAAGUGGUUUUAACACUUUAGUGGUUUGCAGAUUCUUUGGACAAUACCGUCUGAAUAAAGAAGCGUUCGUAAUGGUGUUGGACAUUGUAAAAGAACAUUUGUUACCAUCAAGAGAAACCGUCAAUUCCACUAAAACUUUAUCGCGUUUUGUGAAACCUUUUGCUAUAUCUGGGUUCUUCUCCAUGAACUCUAAAAAUAAUACAUUCUGUGUUGCAUUUCUAUGCCCCUAUUUGUGCCAAAAAUAAUUGAAUAUUUAUAAGUUAUUUAAUUUUAUUUACUUAACAUACAUUUUCCAACAACAUUCCACAAUCUAACAAAACAAAAGAAAACUGCAAAUCUGUAAGCAGUCAGCUGAUCGGAUUUUUUCUGACAAAAAAACGAUAACAUCAGAUUCUAUGACAUCAAAUUCUGAUUACAAAUUCUGAUUCGAAUACGAAACCAAUAAUAUUGGUUUCUAUGACACCAAAAUCAAUUUUUGGUCGGUUUCAAAUCUGAUUCCGAGAGCAAUCAGAUUCCAUAACAGCCGUGAAUAUAUAAAAAAUACAUAUUAAUAAAUCCUGAAUAAAAAAAAAAAAAAAAACAAUGAAGCUGAAAACACCAACAAUGCUCAUGUAUUAAUCCAAACAACACAAAUAUGUAAUACUCAUCUAAGCAAUCAGAAAUAAAACACUAAUGACAACUCAUAUACGUAAACCCAGUAAUUUUCUUUAAUCGGUCAACAGAUAUUUAAUAUAUUGCAUAUAUGCAAUAAUAAGUACAUGACUAUUGAAAAUAAUGCAUUCAGCUAAAUUCAUUAAAAUUUCAUUACAAAUAUCAAUAA
This is a long non-coding RNA of Lucilia cuprina (Australian sheep blowfly), 3413 nucleotides long. RefSeq lists it as uncharacterized. The record is from RefSeq and is a predicted model, not a curated record. The transcript has 3 exons. NCBI's taxonomy places the organism in Eukaryota, Metazoa, Arthropoda, Insecta, Diptera, Calliphoridae.